CUUGAGGUCUCUGAACUACCAGAUUGAAGUUGAGAUGAAGAUCUCCUACAGGCUAUUCUUUCUCUUCUUCUUGCUUCUCCUCUCCUCAGUUGAGGAAGCUGUGGCUCAAGUGGGUAGAGCAAAUGCAAUUAGGCCUCCAGAGCACACAUGCCAUAAGAAAAUAGACUCCAGAGAGAGUUGUUAUUCACAGAAAUGCAUGAACCAGUGUUCUUCAGAACCCAAUGGCAUGGGGAAGUGCCAAAACACCAUCUGUGUCUGCACAUUUUAUUGUAAUCAACCACCUGUGUGAAGUGUAACAGUCAGUGCAUUAAUCCCCAACCCAAACUCUUCUUGUUGUCAUAUGGUUAUAAUAUUUCUUUGGUUUAAAGAAAGCAAGUUCCCUGUUCUGGUAAACUUUAAA
Molecule: long non-coding RNA, 400 nt
Organism: Macadamia integrifolia
Lineage: Eukaryota; Viridiplantae; Streptophyta; Magnoliopsida; Proteales; Proteaceae
Exons: 2
Source: RefSeq, a predicted model, not a curated record